AAAUCAACCGGUAUUGAUAAAAUGACUCACUUGUCAAUCAAAGAUAUGCUUCACAACCACAAACUUUGAGCACUCUUGCAUACCCUGCUUUAUAUCCAUGUCGAAGGCAGAAUCGGACUGCACAACAAAUCCGCGUUUAUUUUUUCAGGAUAGUUUAAUGGUCUUUCAGUCCCUACACUCCAUUUGCACAAUUAAAGCACUUACACAACCACCAAGUUGGAGCUCUCAUAUCUAAGCACGAGCAGGUAUCAGCUCUUGGAGCAGAUAAAAACAGCAUCACCAGAGAAUGAGUCAUUUUCACAAUAAGAAAAAUAUCGAUGUCGCAUACGAGACUGUAUGUUCAACUCUCAGUCACAGAACUGAAGCAUAACAGGACUGAAUGCACAGUUCAAAUCAAACAUGUUAUUGACCAGCAGAUAUUCACUUGCCUGACUCAUUGCAUCAGCUGCAGCAGCUGAGAAGGGCACUACAAGGGCAGGUGAACUGAGAGCAGCAGCAGCAGCCCCUAAUCCAGGGGACGCAUCAGCUAAGACCGAAGGAUUCUGAAAGAAGAAAAAAGGCUUCGGUAGAGGAGUUACAGCAGGAGGUACAGUUGUUCCAAGAGGACCAAGUACCGGCGCUAGCGCGGCAGGCAAGGUAGAAGCAACACUGCCGAUGUGCACAAAAAAUUCGCUGUAUGAAAUAGGUAGGAUCGCAAGUAUGCAUAGAUAGCAAUUAACAAAACUAUUCAUAUGGAACCAACUGCGAAAACGAAAAGGCAACCACUAUUGGAACUUAACGUACUUCUAGGGUUAGGGUAUAAGUUCAGUAUUUGC
RNAcentral lists this long non-coding RNA (815 nucleotides) under Physcomitrium patens. RNAcentral's name for it is "long non-coding RNA (PPAT_LNC012983)". Lineage: Eukaryota; Viridiplantae; Streptophyta; Bryopsida; Funariales; Funariaceae. The record is from RNAcentral.